Molecule: long non-coding RNA, 693 nt
Organism: Oncorhynchus nerka (sockeye salmon)
Lineage: Eukaryota; Metazoa; Chordata; Actinopteri; Salmoniformes; Salmonidae
Exons: 2
Source: RefSeq, a predicted model, not a curated record
CUUCAGCAUUAUCAGUCAGGACCGUUGCGGCCAAUAUUGUUCGAUCAGUGACUGUCUGUGUUGGAUUGGCAGUCACCAUAAUGGCCAUUAACAAGAUCAAGAGAUGGAUAUCCUCAAAAGAAGAUGACUCAACUCAGGAAGUCAUUGUUGAAGUCGCUGACACUUCAGUGAAUGUUUCAGCAGAGGUGAGGCCAGAACCACUGGGCCCUCCUGAGGUAAAAAAACACUUUACAGAAAUGUGCAGAAACCAGGACAGCAACACUGAAUGGACUUCACCCAAUUGACCAGCAUUUUGUAUGAUAAGACUGUAAUACCAUGGGACAAAUAUUGAACACAUUUAAUUUAGUAUUAUCUGCAGUGUAUAUUUGCUUAAAGGGAGAGCCGUGUCGGGUCGACUUCAACAACAACUAAGAGCAUUGUAGCAUGAGGCUAAACUCUGCAUGUUUUGAUGUGAAGCACACCCUACACAUGAACAUAUACUCUGUGAGUACAAUGUCUUGGUCUGUGCUUAUCUACAAAUUCUGUGGUUCAUUCUGUUGGUCGUGGCAACGUCAUAUCGCUAAGUCUCAGUUUAAUGCAACUAGUGUUUUGGAAUAUUGAACAUCACACUUCGGUUGUGUUUUUGGAAUGGUGAAUGUCAAACUUAUUAAGUUCUUGUUUUUACCCCCAAAAAUGAAUAAAUGAUGAAUUGAA